This 83-nucleotide transfer RNA is filed under the name Candidatus Omnitrophota bacterium. RNAcentral's name for it is "tRNA-Leu". It matches the Rfam family "tRNA". From Rfam's summary of the family: Transfer RNA (tRNA) molecules are approximately 80 nucleotides in length. The record is from RNAcentral. Lineage: Bacteria; Pseudomonadati; Candidatus Omnitrophota.
GCGGACGUGGUGGAACUGGCAUACACGUACGGCUUAGGACCGUAUGCGAAAGCAUGAGAGUUCAACUCUCUCCGUCCGCACCA